UGGGGGAUAUUGCACAAUGGGCGAAAGCCUGAUGCAGCGACGCCGCGUGGGGGAUGAAGGCUUUCGGGUUGUAAACCUCUUUCGCUAUCGAACAAGGCCCGCUUAGGGUGGGUUGAGGGUAGGUGGAGAAGAAGCGCCGGCUAACUACGUGCCAGCAGCCGCGGUAAUACGUAGUGCGCGAGCGUUGUCCGGAAUUAUUGGGCGUAAAGGGCUGGUAGGCGGCUUGUUGCGCCUGCUGUGAAAACGCGGGGCUUAACUUCGCGCGUGCAGUGGGUACGGGCAGGGUUGAGUGUGGUAGGGAUGACUGAAAUUCCAGGUGUAGCGGUGGAAUGCGCAGAUAUCUGGAAGAACACCGAUGGCGAAGGCAGGUCACUGGGCCAUUACUGACGCUGAGGAGCGAAAGCAUGGGUAGCGAGCAGG
RNAcentral lists this ribosomal RNA (420 nucleotides) under bacterium. RNAcentral's name for it is "partial 16S ribosomal RNA". It matches the Rfam family "Bacterial small subunit ribosomal RNA", at positions 355 to 776 of the family's 1533-position model. The record is from RNAcentral.